ACUAGGUGGAGCCUCCUGUCCAGGAACUGCAGACUGAGAUAUCAUUAGCUUGCCUGGGAAGAUUCCUGAGACCUGUGGAUGGACGACUUGAUGUGUGGAUGGGCGUUCUUCAAAACUGCCAGGGAUUCAAGCUACAGGACUGCUUCUCCAAUCAGCUGAUGAGGAUUUUCCCGCCGCUUGUGCAACUGGCCAAUCAUCUUCCUGAGAUCUGACAGCUGUCAACAUCCAACAUAAAACCAGGACAGAAAAGAUGGCUUUGGAAAGAAAUCGCACAAAAACCCCCGCCAUCCGCACUGCUUUCUCUUUGAAAGAAAAAACCUGCUGGACGUGAUUCCAAGUUCUACUAUUCAUGUGAUCUGUGUACAGAGGUGAGACCUAAGCACGGAUGCAUCAUACCGCUCCAGUCCACACCCUUAAUGAGCAAGCAGGAUGACUAAGACUGCAGGCGGCAAGAUAAAAAAGUAAUCUGGACAGUCCUUUUGUAAUUUUCCCUUAUAAGGAAGAAUUCUCAAGCGGCAGAUUGUUUGCAGAAUUCUCUGCACAUG
Bufo gargarizans (Asiatic toad) is the source of this 545-nucleotide long non-coding RNA. RefSeq lists it as uncharacterized. NCBI's taxonomy places the organism in Eukaryota, Metazoa, Chordata, Amphibia, Anura, Bufonidae. The transcript has 3 exons. The record is from RefSeq and is a predicted model, not a curated record.